AAAACUGGGUCGUGGGGAGCACAUGGGGAGCAAAACACAAAGACAGUCCAAUCCUGACACACCCCUAGUAACAAGGUAUAUUUCCUUCAUUACUAAAGAAGUGUCUUAUACUGAGGAAGCCCUUUUCCAUCACUGAAUAAAAAAGGUGUGACGUGUUCCCUUUUUAAUAAGUCAUUCCUUACAGCUGUGUCUUCCCAAGCAUCAUGUGUUUAAAAGCUCCAGUCAUUUCAGAUUGUGUUGUCGAUUAUACUUUUUGAAUUCCUCCUUGUUCCCGGUUUCCUGUGGAUUAUUAAAUAAUUUGAUAAUUUGAUUGAUCGUGUUACUCCAGCGACUCCUCGUUCCUCUCCUAUGGAUUAUGACACAUUAUCAAUGUCUUUACUGUCACUCUUGAAUG
This is a long non-coding RNA of Cyprinus carpio (common carp), 394 nucleotides long. RefSeq lists it as uncharacterized. Lineage: Eukaryota; Metazoa; Chordata; Actinopteri; Cypriniformes; Cyprinidae. The record is from RefSeq and is a predicted model, not a curated record. The transcript is spliced from 3 exons.